This is a long non-coding RNA of Trachemys scripta elegans, 2680 nucleotides long. RefSeq lists it as uncharacterized. The record is from RefSeq and is a predicted model, not a curated record. Lineage: Eukaryota; Metazoa; Chordata; Testudines; Emydidae. The transcript has 3 exons.
UGGCCACAGCUUGUUACCAAGCCGCUGCUCGCUCACAGCGCAUGCGCAGGAGCCAAGGGAGGCGCGUGGGUGCCGCUGCGUUGCGCCUUGCCGGAGGUCGGAGAACAGCUGCUCAUCACACUUACCAGCUGUUACUCAGGGGCAGGGAGACCAUUGGGAAGCCCCCUCCCCCACCCCAACACCUCCUCACCCAGGGUGACCAGACGUCCCGACAACACCAGGACUGUCCCCACAUGUAGCUGUUCGUCCCGUGUCCUGACUGAAGUGUGGUCACGACGCCGUUUGUCCCGACAGUGGGCGCAGGACUGGACUGGUCACCCUAGCGGGCAGGCUCCCGGCCUGGCUCUGCACAGCUCCUAGGAAGCGUCUGCUCUCCCUGGUGUGAAACUGCUCAGUCAACCGUAUCUGCUACAAAUGCCAGCAUUGCUCUUGGCGGGAGUAGAUGGGAGGUAGUGGAUCUCCUGAGCCUGUAGGAAGUGGUGGCUGUGCAGAUACAGCUUUUGACCAGUUGAAAACCAUGCACAUCUAUUGCACAGGGGAUGGAGGUGAAGUGAUACAACAAGUAACAGCAGCAGCACCGGAAAGAAAGGAACUGUGGCAGGUAGACCAUUGGCUAACAACUGAGCUGGUGCUGAGCCACAAACAUGCUGCUUUUACAAUGACCUGCAUACCAUACUUGGCAGAGAUACAACCCCCCACCCCCAGCAUUAUGGAUACCUCUCGGGAGCCUGACAGACACAGAAGGGAAAAGGAAUGUCAGCUGCUGCUGCUGCGGUCUUGAGUGGUCCCCCUCCACACCUGUGAAAUGCCUGACCUUGAUGAGGGAAGAGAAAGAAGCGGACUAAGGAGGAUGUGUUGUCAGCAAAAUCCUGCAAGCCAGUGAUGCAUCGGACUGUGAAAAGGGGGCCUACAGUGUGAAUAUGGCAGACAGCCUGAAGAAGGAAAGAGUGGACAGGGAAAAGACCCAGCAGGAAAAAGAGAGGGAGAUGCACCAGGACAUAAUGCGGCUUCUUAAGCAGCAAACACAAAUGCUGCAGACUCUUGUUGACAUACAUGCAGAGGCAAUGCUAGAAUAACUAGUUUGGGAAAGUGAAGGGGUGGUGAAUACAAUUAUUGGGGGAGCAAGGAUUUUGCUACACAUACUUCAUAGAAUGGGAAUAAAUAAUAUUGAUAACAAUUUGUUUACCUUAUUGAAACUCAAUACGCUUGUUGUGAGCAACAACAAAUGUCAACAACUGUCUUUAGAUCAAGAGACAACUUUUUUCAAUACCCAUGACAGCUAAGUUCCUUAACAAAUCACUUGUCAUGCUGUUCCUUGGGUAAUCUUUCACCUGUGAAAGGCAUGAAAAUGUUCUUUCACAUGUAGCACUUGAUGGAGGAAUACUCACAUGAGUCACAAAUAAUUUAUGCAGUCUGUGAAAUAGAAGUUUGUAUUUAUCAAAACAAUUAGCAGCUGCAACAAACCCUCAAUCUUUGAUUUCUUCAUAGAAUUUAAUUACUUUUGGCAAGAGUUUUACCUCCGUCUAUAUUGCAUCCAUAGUACUCUGCAAGUGAUUUUAAUUUUAGGGCAGUCAAGAAAGUUAUCGGAUUUUGGAUUAAGGUAAUUGAUACCAACAAGAAUAGAUUUAUUUCCAGAAAAGCUUUGCAGUUCUCCAGUUACUUUUUUUUCAAGCAAUGGCAAAAAGGCAUGUUUCCUGAAGUCUCUAUCUAAAAGUGUUCUCCUCUUGACACUUCUUCAGUCCAAAUGUAUUCCUGAUGUUUUUCAGGCUACUUUCGUACAUGACUGUGUAGUCCCCGAACUUCAGGUGGCUUCAGACCAUUUUCUGAUGCUAUGUUAACAGCUUCACUCCAUAGUUCAUCAAAUGCUUCUUCCAAAUCUCUCAUGUUCAGAAAUUCACUGAUUAGGGUGUUCAUAGAAAAGCAUGCCUGAGACAAGUCACACUCCUGCUUGCAAAUAGUCAGUUAUAACAUUAAGCAGUUGAAGUAUUCUUUGAACAUGCAAAGAAGGACAAUAAACUUGCAGUCUUGAUACUGACUUAAGACCUCGAGCACUCAUUGCCCUGGCCCCUCCUGACAUAUCUCAAGAUAGUACAGCAAGUGUCACAAGAAUGGAUGAAAUUGUCUUUUUGACAGCAUUAUAAGCAGAAACUUGGCAUGCCCAUCAAGUGUCACAGAGCUUCUUCAAUUCAAAGACUUGAUGUUUGGGUUGUAUUUUCUUUGGAAUGGCUAUGAAUUUAGCGUGUAUAGCUGAUCCAGAGAGAAAAGUGUGCAAUUUCUCCAGCAUAGUGAAACAAUUCAGCACGUGAUUCCUUUGCAUAUAUGAACAAUAACUAAAUUGAGCCUGUGGUUGAAAUAGUGAAUGCAUAAUGCUUGAGGUACUUCUUCCCGUAAGAGCUUGCACGCCAUUAGGAUUUCCACUCAUAAAAAAUUGGCACCAUAGUAAGUCCGGGCACUACAGUUCUGUAUAUCAAUACCACACCGUGACAAUGUGUUCUUCAUGUACUGAAAGUGUGACUUUGCAUCAAGUGACUUGGCAGGAUGGAAGCCAAGAAAUCUUUCAUAUACAGUGCCAUGCAAAUAAUACUUCAACAAAACUAACACUUGUUCUACUUUGCUAAUGUCUUUAGUUUCAUUAACCAUUACGGAGAAAACAUUCAGCUCUUUCACUUCUUGGCUUCUG